UACGUAGGGGGCAAGCGUUAUCCGGAAUUACUGGGUGUAAAGGGAGCGUAGACGGUAAUGUAAGUCUGGAGUGAAAGGCGGGGGCCCAACCCCCGGACUGCUCUGGAAACUAUGUUACUGGAGUGCAGGAGAGGUAAGCGGAAUUCCUGGUGUAGCGGUGAAAUGCGUAGAUAUCACGCAGAACUCCGAUCGCGAAGGCAGCCUACCGGCGCGCUACUGACGCUCAUGCACGAAAGCGUGGGUAUCGAACAGG
Molecule: ribosomal RNA, 253 nt
Filed under: uncultured Eubacteriales bacterium
Lineage: Bacteria; Bacillati; Bacillota; Clostridia; Eubacteriales
Description: uncultured Clostridiales bacterium partial 16S ribosomal RNA
Rfam family: Bacterial small subunit ribosomal RNA
Source: RNAcentral